UACAAAAUAAUUAAAUAAUCAUGAAAAUUCAAGUUUUCAUUCAAAUUUGCAUAUUGAUGAUGCAUUCACUUAAUAAAUUAUGAUACAUUGCUCCCCCCUACACAAAAGUACAUGGUAGUAGUAAAAAGUAUCGGUAUCGGCAAUACUGGCCCUGUAUUUACUUGGUAUUGGAUCGAUACCAAAUUUUGCAGUAUCGCACAGCCCUAAUAAGAUGUGGCCAGGACUUUAGUUUAAAAUGUUCAAAAAAUGAAUCAACACUAUCAGCAGUGUCUAAAGGAGACGCAGUGAUGUCAUGAUCUCCCUGACCUGUCCCCUGUUGUAAUACCACUUUGUGACACUAGACGCUGUGUGAGUCAGUGGCGCGUCAAGUGUUCCCUCAGUCCCACGAAGAAGAACAACUUCCGGCAGCACUUGAAGUUAGCAUCACAGAAACACAGGAAUGGCUGAACCUCCUAAAUGGCGAUAUGUAUCUGUAUCCCGCAGGACCGCUCCCGACAAGAAACCACGUUCAACGGCGAAGAAAAGAAGCAACACGAGUAACUCUCGAUGUGGUUUUCCACCGCCGGAGACAGCUCCUGAGAGUAAAGAGAUGCAGUUUGAUGCUGAGCUCGCAACGUUCCUGUUAGCCCGGACCAGAAUUCCAGUGUAAUCAUCACCAAUGUUGGACCAGCACCUGCCUUUCCUUCUGCAUCUGGCCUCAUCAAUCAACAACCACAUUACAGUAACACCUUGAGCGCAUGAAACUCUAUGUUCAAUAAGGAAGAAGCUUUUGAAUCAUUAGUGACAAUUCCAGUCUGGCUGCACAGUAUGUGAUCAAGAAGUUGUGUAGAACUUACCGUCUACAGCAGUGAGCAGGGCUUCUUCUUGACCUUGGUGGGCUGGGGGCAGAGCACGGCGCGGAUGGCCUCAUCAAACACAGUCUUCAGACCACCCUGGGUCAAAGCCGAGCACUCCAGAUCCAGCUUGGGGCCAGACUGGGGCCCAUCAGGAUGAUGGGCGUGGAGGGGCAGUGGUGGGGAACCUCCGGGUACCACUGGUAGAGGACAAGCAAAGACAAACCAAAUGAAUGAAGAGAGAGGGAGGAAGACACAAAGUGAAGUUCUCCAGGACGACGAUGUUCUCCACUGCGCAGAUAUGACAGAUCGUUGACCGUAGCAGUAUCGACGUAAAAGGAUGUUUUCCAAAUCAGCCGUAUGAAAACUUUUUCUGUGGAAAAGGAGACGGGGUGGACGCAGCUGGAGGUGACUCUGGCAGUGCAGCUGUGGUGGGCACCAAAAUGUAUGGCGUCUAUAAGGCGUCUAAAGACUUUGCAUGUGUGGCUCCAGUUUUGUUCGUAAGAGUCUGUAAAUACAUUACCUGGAUCAAGAACACUAUUAAGUAGACUGAAACAACUAAACAUUCAUAAUAAAUAAAUGAUGAGAGUUCAGCUCUACAAUGAA
Long non-coding RNA from Seriola aureovittata, 1439 nucleotides. RefSeq lists it as uncharacterized. Lineage: Eukaryota; Metazoa; Chordata; Actinopteri; Carangiformes; Carangidae. The record is from RefSeq and is a predicted model, not a curated record. The transcript has 7 exons.